CCUACGGGUGGCAGCAGUGAGGAAUAUUGGUCAAUGGGCGCUAGCCUGAACCAGCCAAGUAGCGUGAGGGAUGAAUGCCCUAUGGGUUGUAGACUUCUUUUAUAUGGGAAUAAAGUGCCGGUUUUAUACUGCUUUGCGUGUACCUUAUGAAUAAGGAUCGGCUAACUCCGUGCCAGCAGCCGCGGUAAUACGGAGGAUCCGAGCGUUAUCCGGAUUUAUUGGGUUUAAAGGGAGCGUAGGCGGGGUGUUAAGUCAGUUGUGAACGUUUGCGGCGCAACCGUAAAAUUGCAGUUGAUACUGGCAUCCUUGAGUACAGUAGAGGUAGGCGGAAUUCGUGGUGUAGCGGUGAAAUGCUUAGAUAUGGCGAAGAACCCCGAUUGCGAAGGCAGCUUGCUGCAGCGGAACUGACGCUGAGGCUCGAAAGCGCGGGUAUCGAACAGGAUUAGAUACCCCUGUAGUC
This 460-nucleotide ribosomal RNA is filed under the name uncultured bacterium. RNAcentral's name for it is "partial 16S ribosomal RNA". It matches the Rfam family "Bacterial small subunit ribosomal RNA", at positions 338 to 795 of the family's 1533-position model. The record is from RNAcentral.